Molecule: transfer RNA, 57 nt
Filed under: Austrofundulus limnaeus
Lineage: Eukaryota; Metazoa; Chordata; Actinopteri; Cyprinodontiformes; Rivulidae
Description: tRNA-Cys
Source: RNAcentral
AGUCUCGAGUAUGUGUAGAUUGCAAAUCUAACGUUUGGUAUUCGCCAGCCGGGACUU